This 85-nucleotide transfer RNA is filed under the name Felis catus (domestic cat). It matches the Rfam family "tRNA". From Rfam's summary of the family: Transfer RNA (tRNA) molecules are approximately 80 nucleotides in length. Their secondary structure includes four short double-helical elements and three loops (D, anti-codon, and T loops). Lineage: Eukaryota; Metazoa; Chordata; Mammalia; Carnivora; Felidae. The record is from Rfam by way of RNAcentral.
GCCUGGGUGGCUCAGUCGGUUGAGCGUCUGACUUCAGCUCAGGUCAUGAUCUCACAGUUUGUGAGUUCGAGCCCCGUGUUGGGCU